This 447-nucleotide ribosomal RNA is filed under the name Prevotella sp. oral taxon 317. RNAcentral describes it as "bacterial SSU rRNA". It matches the Rfam family "Bacterial small subunit ribosomal RNA", at positions 28 to 465 of the family's 1533-position model. Lineage: Bacteria; Pseudomonadati; Bacteroidota; Bacteroidia; Bacteroidales; Prevotellaceae. The record is from RNAcentral.
GAUGAACGCUAGCUACAGGCUUAACACAUGCAAGUCGCGGGGCAGCAUGGGGGUUGCUUGCAAUCCCUGAUGGCGACCGGCGCACGGGUGAGUAACGCGUAUCCAACCUGCCCUUCACCACGGGAUAACCCGGCGAAAGUCGGACUAAUACCGUAUGUUGUCCAUUGACGGCAUCCGAUUUGGACGAAAGGCUUGGCGGUGAGGGAUGGGGAUGCGUCCGAUUAGCUUGACGGCGGGGUAACGGCCCACCGUGGCGACGAUCGGUAGGGGUUCUGAGAGGAAGGUCCCCCACACUGGAACUGAGACACGGUCCAGACUCCUACGGGAGGCAGCAGUGGGGAAUAUUGGUCAAUGGGCGGAAGCCUGAACCAGCCAAGUAGCGUGCAGGAUGACGGCCCUAUGGGUUGUAAACUGCUUUUAUGCGGGGAUAAAGGAGCCCACGUGUGG